This 253-nucleotide ribosomal RNA is filed under the name uncultured bacterium. RNAcentral describes it as "partial 16S ribosomal RNA". It matches the Rfam family "Bacterial small subunit ribosomal RNA", at positions 524 to 776 of the family's 1533-position model. The record is from RNAcentral.
UACGAAGGGUGCAAACGUUGCUCGGAAUUAUUGGGCGUAAGGCGCACGUAGGCGGCUUUGCAAGUCCCAUGUGAAAUCCCACGGCUUAACCGUGGAAGUGCAUGGGAAACUGCAGAGCUUGAGUACUUAAGAGGAUCGCGGAAUUCCCGGUGUAGAGGUGAAAUUCGUAGAUAUCGGGAGGAACACCAGUGGCGAAGGCGGCGAUCUGGGAAGAUACUGACGCUGAGGUGCGAAAGCGUGGGGAGCAAACAGG